This 253-nucleotide ribosomal RNA is filed under the name uncultured bacterium. RNAcentral describes it as "partial 16S ribosomal RNA". It matches the Rfam family "Bacterial small subunit ribosomal RNA", at positions 524 to 776 of the family's 1533-position model. The record is from RNAcentral.
UACGGAGGGUGCAAGCGUUGUUCGGAAUUAUUGGGCGUAAAGCGCACGUAGGCGGGCUUGAAAGUCGAUUGUGAAAGCCCCGGGCUUAACCCGGGAUGUGCAGUCGAUACUCCAAGUCUUGAAUGCUUGAGAGGGUCAUGGAAUUCCAGGUGUAGAAGUGAAAUUCGUAGAUAUCUGGAGGAACACCAGAGGCGAAGGCGUUGACCUGGCAAGACAUUGACGCUGAGGUGCGAAAGCGUGGGGAGCAAACAGG